RNAcentral lists this ribosomal RNA (540 nucleotides) under Triticum aestivum (bread wheat). RNAcentral's name for it is "partial small subunit ribosomal RNA". The record is from RNAcentral. Lineage: Eukaryota; Viridiplantae; Streptophyta; Magnoliopsida; Poales; Poaceae.
AUGUUUACCGCCAAACCAGGGCGCGUCCUGGCGAUGGUUGCGUGCGCCGAAGGUAUAGGUGUGCCCCGUGGCUCUGGAAUGUUCAGGCAAGCGCUGCACGCCGUCUCAUACAUCAGCGAGGACAAGAUCGCUGCCAAAGUGGACUACUUGAAGAAGACGUUUAGGUGGUUGGAUGCCGAGGUUGGCAUUGCUGUGUCCAAGGGGCCGUUUAUACUGGCGAGGUCAAAGGACUUGCUGAAGCGCAGGUCUGAGUUCCUUAUCUCUGAGGUGGGGUUGGAGCCGGCGUACAUUGCUCGCCACCCAUCAUUGCUCAGUUAUAGCUUGGAGGGCCGGCUCAGGCCCUGGUACUAUGUUAUGAAGUUUCUUACUGAAAACAGAUUGCUCAAGCGUCACACGUGCUACUAUACAUUUGUCAAGGCCACCGAGAUGGAAUUCUUGGACAAGUUCAUAUGCCCUUACAAGCAAGCUGCACCACACCUUGCCGAAGACUAUGCAGCUGCUUGCAAAGGGGAAGUGCCAACUAGAUUCAGAUUUACAUGA